CAAAAACAUGGUUUUUUGGGUUUUAGAUAAAAAAUCGAGCCUGCCCACUGAGAAGUUUGAAGGGCUGCAGUAUUUUGACUGUACAAAGGUAGCAUAAUCAUUAGUCUUUUAAUUGGAGACUGGUAUGAAAGGUUUGACGGGGGUUAACUGUCUUAGCUUUAAUUAGUGAAGUUUUUCUUUUUGUGAAAAAACAAAAAUAAGAUAAAGGGACAAGAAGACCCUAUUAAGCUUUAUUGAUUAAGGAGAUUUUUAUUGUUAGAUGAAGAAAGAUUUUUUUAGUUAGUUUUACUGGGGCGGUGAGUAUGAUCAACAAUAUUUUUAAUGUAAUAAUGUAGGUAAAGUUUGUUAGAUCCAAUUGGGUUGAUAAGAAGACCAAGUUACUGUAGGGAUAACAGCGUAAUACUUUUUGAGAGUUCAUAUUGACAGAUGUGUUUGCGACCUCGAUGUUGGAUUAAGGAAUCUUUUUGGCGCAGAAGCUGAAUAAG
RNAcentral lists this ribosomal RNA (485 nucleotides) under Atelomastix bamfordi. RNAcentral's name for it is "partial 16S ribosomal RNA". It matches the Rfam family "Bacterial large subunit ribosomal RNA", at positions 1808 to 2570 of the family's 2925-position model. The record is from RNAcentral. Lineage: Eukaryota; Metazoa; Arthropoda; Diplopoda; Spirostreptida; Iulomorphidae.